This 71-nucleotide transfer RNA is filed under the name Capra hircus (goat). It matches the Rfam family "tRNA". From Rfam's summary of the family: Transfer RNA (tRNA) molecules are approximately 80 nucleotides in length. Their secondary structure includes four short double-helical elements and three loops (D, anti-codon, and T loops). Further hydrogen bonds mediate the characteristic L-shaped molecular structure. tRNAs have two regions of fundamental functional importance: the anti-codon, which is responsible for specific mRNA codon recognition, and the 3' end, to which the tRNAs corresponding amino acid is attached (by aminoacyl-tRNA synthetases). tRNAs cope with the degeneracy of the genetic code in two manners: having more than one tRNA (with a specific anti-codon) for a particular amino acid; and 'wobble' base-pairing, i.e. permitting non-standard base-pairing at the 3rd anti-codon position. The record is from Rfam by way of RNAcentral. Lineage: Eukaryota; Metazoa; Chordata; Mammalia; Artiodactyla; Bovidae. RNAcentral also lists the same sequence under 1 other name.
UCCCACGUGGCUUAGCUGGUAAAGAAUCUGCCUGCAAUGCAGGAGACCUGGGUUUGAUCCCUGAGUUGGGA